Molecule: long non-coding RNA, 530 nt
Filed under: Piliocolobus tephrosceles (Ugandan red Colobus)
Lineage: Eukaryota; Metazoa; Chordata; Mammalia; Primates; Cercopithecidae
Description: lncRNA (ENSPTEG00000018365.1)
Source: RNAcentral
CUUAUUUUUUUAUUUUUAUUUUUUUAUUUCAUACCUUUUUUAAAACAGUUCACAGCAACAGGGUACUUUAAAUGAAAAUAAUAAUCUUACAAGCGAGCGAAAAAUUUGUUACUUAAAAAUUGACUACCGUGAUAUGUCCUCCGAAUAUGACCUCAAUGACAUUAUAAAAAAAAUAAGAAACACGUACAGUGUCGAUGACGACAAAAAGGAUCUUGAUAUAAAAGAAGACAAUAUGAAUAAUAUGAAAAAAGGCGUGCUUUAUAUGGCUUAUUAUGAAGAUAAUACCUUUUUUGUUAAUAAAUUAGAAAAAAAAAUAAGUAAAUAUAUGUAAAAGUUGUAUACUUAUAUGGAAAAACUUUUGGACGUGAAAAAAAAAGAAACAAUCAAACUAAUUUCAAAUGAUAUGAAAUUACAUAGAAAGUAUUAUGAAUGUAAAAACGAAUGAAUGACAAAAAGAGGAUAAGCUGUGAUCUAUGCAUUAAAAAAAAAAAAAAAAUAAAAAAAAAAAAAAAAAAAUAGUACGUAUAUAG